Molecule: ribosomal RNA, 440 nt
Filed under: uncultured bacterium
Lineage: Bacteria
Description: partial 16S ribosomal RNA
Rfam family: Bacterial small subunit ribosomal RNA
Source: RNAcentral
CCUACGGGAGGCGGCAGUGGGGAAUAUUGGACAAUGGGGGAAACCCUGAUCCAGCGACGCCGCGUGAGUGAAGAAGCAUUUCGGUACGUAAAGCCCUAUCAGCAGGAAAGAAAAUGACGGUACCUGACCAAGAAGCCCCGGCUAACUACGUGCCAGCAGCCGCGGUAAUACGUAGGGGGCAAGCGUUAUCCGGAUUUACUGGGUGUAAAGGGAGCGCAGACGGCAGUGCAAGUCUGGAGUGAAAUGCCGGGGCCCAACCCCGGGACUGCUCUGGAAACUGUGUAGCUGGAGUGCAGGAGGGGUAGGCGGAAUUCCUGGUGUAGCGGUGAAAUGCGUAGAUAUCAGGAGGAACACCGGCGGCGAAGGCGGCCUGCUGGACUGUAACUGACGUUGAGGCUCGAAGGCGUGGGGAGCAAACAGGAUUAGAUACCCUUGUAGUC